Molecule: transfer RNA, 31 nt
Filed under: Drosophila acanthoptera
Lineage: Eukaryota; Metazoa; Arthropoda; Insecta; Diptera; Drosophilidae
Also listed under: 4 other names
Description: partial tRNA-Met
Source: RNAcentral
AAUUAUAAAGGUUUUAAUCCUUUUCUUUUUA